CUUACCGGACGCAAUUACGACUGGACACAAUUACGAACGAUUUUUAAUGUUUGCCCCCUUAUAUUAUAUUAAUGCAUGAUAAUUAAUAAAUGUUUCUAUUAAUUAAAAACCCACUACAUUACUUGUGUUUUCACGAGAAAAAAAAAGUUCAUGCGCACUUGGUUAAUGUUGCAGACGACGAAAAAUUAAGUUUCGUAAAUGUCAAAAUAAUGACUCCCUCUCUUGGAAAUAACAUGAAUAAAGCACACAAGCUAGUGCAAAUUGCCUUCUUUUGUCAUUAUAUAGAUAGAAAAAUAUCUCCUGAAUCUGUUCAUAUGUGUGAUACCCUUUAUCUUGCCCAAAUAAUCCAAAAA
RNAcentral lists this long non-coding RNA (353 nucleotides) under Mytilus galloprovincialis (Mediterranean mussel). The record is from RNAcentral. Lineage: Eukaryota; Metazoa; Mollusca; Bivalvia; Mytilida; Mytilidae.